RNAcentral lists this long non-coding RNA (804 nucleotides) under Elaeis guineensis (African oil palm). RNAcentral describes it as "long non-coding RNA (EGUI_LNC010271)". The record is from RNAcentral. Lineage: Eukaryota; Viridiplantae; Streptophyta; Magnoliopsida; Arecales; Arecaceae.
UCACAUGAUAAGAAAAGGAAAUUCUAUGUUGCCUCUUGUUAUUAAACAUUGGUUUCUUAAUGACUACAGCUCUAUCAAAUAAGCUACAUUAUAUUAAAAUAUGAGUUUUAAAAUUAUUAGAAUUAAGUCUAAUUUUAUAUAUCUAUUUUCUCGAAAUGCUUAUUUACGUCAAUCUAAAAUAUCUUGACUUGUCAUCUCUAAUCUAUUCAAUAAAACUUUUCUCAUUAAGAAAUCUCUUUUUUGCUCCUAAAAUCAAUCCAUCAUCUUCCUAAUCUCUCUUAGCAAAAUAUGCUUAAUAAGAUAAUAUUUAGUUAAGAGAUCUCUUUCUUAUUAUUUUCUUUUUGAUAAAAAGGGUCCUCUAUAUAAAAAGAGAUAGUGCAUAAUCCUCAAAUACCAGUGAAAGUAGAAUUUAACUCCAAUUCAUGUGGUACAACUACCAAAAACUGUACCAGAUAUGCAAGCUAGCAUAAUCUCCUUCUUUCUCACUUCAACAUGAAUCUCUCAUCUUUAAGGUAUAUCUAAUUGGAAAAGAGCAAUAGUAUAAGACUCCUGUUACAUGCAUAGACAAUUCUCUUGCCAUUAUAGUAGAAAAAGAUUUGCACAACUUCCAAUAUUUAUUUCCAAACACAAGGCUGGUUAUGGAGCUAUCACAUCUACGAUUGUGGGUCCAAUGAACUUUUCAAAGUGUUUUCAUUUUUAUCUUUGUAUCAAUCCUAUCUUCUUUUGAUCCAUAUUCUCUUUCAGCAAUCUCUUUUAGAAGAAAUUUCUUUAAAAGAGAUAGAGAUCUAAGAUCAAUUAAAGGAG